UACAGAGGGUGCAAACGUUGCUCGGAAUUACUGGGCGUAAAGCGCGUGUAGGCGGACUGAUAAGUCAGGCGUGAAAUCCCUGGGCUCAACCCGGGAACUGCGCUUGAAACUGCCAGUCUUGAGUAUCGGAGAGGGUAGCGGAAUUCCUGGUGUAGAGGUGAAAUUCGUAGAUAUCAGGAGGAACACCGGUGGCGAAGGCGGCUACCUGGACGAUUACUGACGCUGAGACGCGAAAGCGUGGGGAGCAAACAGG
Molecule: ribosomal RNA, 253 nt
Filed under: uncultured bacterium
Lineage: Bacteria
Description: partial 16S ribosomal RNA
Rfam family: Bacterial small subunit ribosomal RNA
Source: RNAcentral